AAAGAACGAAAACAAGAGACAAAUAAGCAGUAAAACAUGCAUUUAAUCUAAUUAAUUAAGAAAAGGAAAAGCUGGGAAAAAAAAAAGAAGUACCUCAAUGAAGGUUGUAGUUCCUUGGCUAAAGUUUUGAUGAAAUUCCAAGUUUCAAUCCAACCGGUUGCUGCUCCUUUUUUUCAUGUUGUGUAUGAGUGUGUUGGGAGAAAAGAGAUGGCCGAGAGUGAGUGAGAUUGAGGGAGUAAGUGGAGUCUCUUUUUUUUUGUGUGGCUUUGAGAGGGAGACGGGAGAAGUUUGAGAGGGGAGUUGGGAGUUGGAGUCCUUCUAUGUUGUGUUUUUGUGAAUU
RNAcentral lists this long non-coding RNA (340 nucleotides) under Coffea arabica (coffee). Its description in RNAcentral is "long non-coding RNA (CARA_LNC002221)". The record is from RNAcentral. Lineage: Eukaryota; Viridiplantae; Streptophyta; Magnoliopsida; Gentianales; Rubiaceae.